UACGUAGGGUGCAAGCGUUGUCCGGAAUUAUUGGGCGUAAAGGGUGCGUAGGCGGCCGUGCAAGUCUGGCGUGAAAGCCCCGGGCUCAGCCCGGGAAGUGCGCUCGAAACUGCGCGGCUCGAGUGCCGGAGGGGAGAGUGGAAUUCCUGGUGUAGCGGUGAAAUGCGUAGAUAUCAGGAGGAAUACCGGUGGCGAAAGCGACUCUCUGGACGGCAACUGACGCUGAGGCACGAAAGCGUGGGGAGCAAACAGG
This 253-nucleotide ribosomal RNA is filed under the name uncultured bacterium. RNAcentral describes it as "partial 16S ribosomal RNA". It matches the Rfam family "Bacterial small subunit ribosomal RNA", at positions 524 to 776 of the family's 1533-position model. The record is from RNAcentral.